UACGAAGGGUGCAAGCGUUACUCGGAAUUACUGGGCGUAAAGCGUGCGUAGGUGGUUUGUUAAGUCUGUUGUGAAAGCCCCGGGCUCAACCUGGGAAUGGCAAUGGAUACUGGCAGGCUAGAGUGCGGUAGAGGGUAGUGGAAUUCCCGGUGUAGCGGUGAAAUGCGUUGAGAUCGGGAGGAACACCAGUGGCGAAGGCGGCUACCUGGACCAGCACUGACACUGAGGCACGAAAGCGUGGGGAGCAAACAGG
This 253-nucleotide ribosomal RNA is filed under the name uncultured bacterium. RNAcentral describes it as "partial 16S ribosomal RNA". It matches the Rfam family "Bacterial small subunit ribosomal RNA", at positions 524 to 776 of the family's 1533-position model. The record is from RNAcentral.